GAUGAACGCUGGCGGCGUGCCUAAUACAUGCAAGUCGAGCGAACAGACGAGGAGCUUGCUCCUCUGACGUUAGCGGCGGACGGGUGAGUAACACGUGGAUAACCUACCUAUAAGACUGGGAUAACUUCGGGAAACCGGAGCUAAUACCGGAUAAUAUAUUGAACCGCAUGGUUCAAUAGUGAAAGACGGUUUUGCUGUCACUUAUAGAUGGAUCCGCGCCGCAUUAGCUAGUUGGUAAGGUAACGGCUUACCAAGGCAACGAUGCGUAGCCGACCUGAGAGGGUGAUCGGCCACACUGGAACUGAGGCACGGUCCAGACUCCUACGGGAGGCAGCAGGAGGGAAACUUCCGGAAUGGGCGAAAGCUUUACGGAGCAACGGCGCGGGAGUGAUGAAGGUCCUCGGAUCCUAAAACUCUGUUAUUAGGGAAGAACAAAUGUGUAAGUAACUAUGCACGCCUUGACGGUACCUAAUCAGAAAGCCACGGCUAACUACGUG
RNAcentral lists this ribosomal RNA (497 nucleotides) under uncultured bacterium. RNAcentral's name for it is "partial 16S ribosomal RNA". It matches the Rfam family "Bacterial small subunit ribosomal RNA", at positions 28 to 507 of the family's 1533-position model. The record is from RNAcentral.